Molecule: transfer RNA, 76 nt
Filed under: Morganella morganii
Lineage: Bacteria; Pseudomonadati; Pseudomonadota; Gammaproteobacteria; Enterobacterales; Morganellaceae
Also listed under: 1 other name
Description: tRNA-Val
Rfam family: tRNA
About the family: Transfer RNA (tRNA) molecules are approximately 80 nucleotides in length.
Source: RNAcentral
GGGCGAUUAGCUCAGUUGGUAGAGCAUCUCCCUUACAAGGAGGGGGUCACUGGUUCGAACCCGGUAUCGCCCACCA